AGGGAUCAUUACCGAGUGUAAAAACUCCCAAACCAUUGUGAACUUACCACUGUUGCUUCGGCGGCCUCGCCCCGGGCGCGUUCGCGCGGCCCGGACCCAGGCGUCCGCCGGAGGCUUCAAACUCUUGUCUUUUAGUGUAUUUCUGAGUGGCAUAAGCAAAUAAAUCAAAACUUUCAGCAACGGAUCUCUUGGUUCUGGCAUCGAUGAAGAACGCAGCAAAAUGCGAUAAGUAAUGUGAAUUGCAGAAUUCAGUGAAUCAUCGAAUCUUUGAACGCACAUUGCGCCCGCCAGUAUUCUGGCGGGCAUGCCUGUCUGAGCGUCAUUUCAACCCUCAGGACCCGUUCGCGGGACCUGGCGUUGGGGAUCAGCCUGCCCCUGGCGGCGGCUGGCCCUGAAAUACAGUGGCGGUUCCCUCGCGAACUCCUCCGUGCAGUAAUUAAACCUCUCGCGGCAGGAUAGCGGUUGAACCACGCCGUUAAACCCCCCACUUCUCAAGGUUGACCUCAGAUCAGGUAGGAAUACCCGCUGAACUUAA
Molecule: ribosomal RNA, 535 nt
Filed under: Acremonium sclerotigenum
Lineage: Eukaryota; Fungi; Ascomycota; Sordariomycetes; Hypocreales; Bionectriaceae
Description: eukaryotic LSU rRNA
Rfam family: 5.8S ribosomal RNA (bases 169-322)
Source: RNAcentral